RNAcentral lists this ribosomal RNA (445 nucleotides) under uncultured bacterium. RNAcentral describes it as "partial 16S ribosomal RNA". It matches the Rfam family "Bacterial small subunit ribosomal RNA", at positions 354 to 796 of the family's 1533-position model. The record is from RNAcentral.
GUGAGGAAUAUUGGUCAAUGGACGGAAGUCUGAACCAGCCAUGCCGCGUGAAGGAUGAAGGCGUUCUGCGUUGUAAACUUCUUUUAUCAGAGAAGAAACCACUGAUUUCUAUUAGUGUUGACGGUAUCUGAUGAAUAAGCACCGGCUAACUCCGUGCCAGCAGCCGCGGUAAUACGGAGGGUGCAAGCGUUAUCCGGAUUUACUGGGUUUAAAGGGUGUGUAGGCGGGCUAUUAAGUCAGGGGUGAAAUCCCGGGGCUCAACCUCGGAACUGCCUUUGAUACUAUUAGUCUUGAAUUAUGUUGAGGUUGGCGGAAUAUAACAUGUAGCGGUGAAAUGCAUAGAUAUGUUAUAGAACACCGAUUGCGAAGGCAGCUGGCUAAACAUAUAUUGACGCUGAGGCACGAAAGCGUGGGUAGCGAACGGGAUUAGAAACCCUGGUAGUCC